RNAcentral lists this ribosomal RNA (449 nucleotides) under uncultured prokaryote. RNAcentral's name for it is "bacterial SSU rRNA". It matches the Rfam family "Bacterial small subunit ribosomal RNA", at positions 355 to 796 of the family's 1533-position model. The record is from RNAcentral.
UGGGGAAUAUUGGACAAUGGGCGCAAGCCUGAUCCAGCAAUGCCGCGUGUGUGAAGAAGGCCUGCGGGUUGUAAAGCACUUUCAGUAGAGAAGAAAAGCCUAGGGUUAAUACCCCUGAGUCUUGACGUAACCUACAGAAGAAGCACCGGCUAACUCCGUGCCAGCAGCCGCGGUAAUACGGAGGGUGCGAGCGUUAAUCGGAAUUACUGGGCGUAAAGCGCGCGUAGGCGGCUAGGUCAGUCGAAUGUGAAAGCCCCGGGCUUAACCUGGGAAUUGCACUCGAUACUACCUGGCUAGAAUAUGGGAGAGGGAAGUGGAAUUUCCGGUGUAGCGGUGAAAUGCGUAGAUAUCGGAAGGAACACCAGUGGCGAAGGCGACUUCCUGGCCCAAUAUUGACGCUGAGGUGCGAAAGCGUGGGUAGCGAACAGGAUUAGAUACCCCCGUAGUCC